This 503-nucleotide ribosomal RNA is filed under the name uncultured bacterium. Its description in RNAcentral is "bacterial SSU rRNA". It matches the Rfam family "Bacterial small subunit ribosomal RNA", at positions 29 to 507 of the family's 1533-position model. The record is from RNAcentral.
AACGAACGCUGGCGGCGUGCUUAACACAUGCAAGUCGAACGAGAAAGUGGGCUUCGGCCCGCGAGUAGAGUGGCAGACGGGUGAGUAACACGUGGAUAACCUGCCCGGAGGUGGGGAAUAACUCUUCGAAAGGGGAGCUAAUACCGCAUGAUAUCUCGAGGGCUCGCCUUUGAGAUCAAAGCUAGCCUCUUCUUGAAAGCUAGCGCCACCGGAGGGGUCCGCGGCCCAUUAGCUUGUUGGUGAGGUAACGGCUCACCAAGGCGACGAUGGGUAGCCGGCCUGAGAGGGUGAACGGCCACACUGGAACUGGGACACGGUCCAGACUCCUACGGGAGGCAGCAGUGAGGAAUCUUGCGCAAUGGGGGAAACCCUGACGCAGCGACGCCGCGUGGAGGACGAAGGCCUUCGGGUCGUAAACUCCUGUCAAGCGGGACGAAUGCCGUGGAGAUGAAUAAGCUCUGCGGUUGACGGUACCGCUGAAGGAAGCCCCGGCUAACUCCGUG